UGGGGAAUAUUGGACAAUGGGCGAAAGCCUGAUCCAGCCAUGCCGCGUGUGUGAAGAAGGUCUUCGGAUUGUAAAGCACUUUAAGUUGGGAGGAAGGGCAGUAAGUUAAUACCUUGCUGUUUUGACGUUACCAACAGAAUAAGCACCGGCUAACUUCGUGCCAGCAGCCGCGGUAAUACGAAGGGUGCAAGCGUUAAUCGGAAUUACUGGGCGUAAAGCGCGCGUAGGUGGUUCAGCAAGUUGGAUGUGAAAUCCCCGGGCUCAACCUGGGAACUGCAUCCAAAACUACUGAGCUAGAGUACGGUAGAGGGUGGUGGAAUUUCCUGUGUAGCGGUGAAAUGCGUAGAUAUAGGAAGGAACACCAGUGGCGAAGGCGACCACCUGGACUGAUACUGACACUGAGGUGCGAAAGCGUGGGGAGCAAACA
RNAcentral lists this ribosomal RNA (427 nucleotides) under uncultured bacterium. Its description in RNAcentral is "partial 16S ribosomal RNA". It matches the Rfam family "Bacterial small subunit ribosomal RNA", at positions 355 to 774 of the family's 1533-position model. The record is from RNAcentral. RNAcentral also lists the same sequence under 3 other names.